This 393-nucleotide ribosomal RNA is filed under the name uncultured bacterium. RNAcentral describes it as "partial 16S ribosomal RNA". It matches the Rfam family "Bacterial small subunit ribosomal RNA", at positions 523 to 918 of the family's 1533-position model. The record is from RNAcentral.
AUACGGAGGAUCCGAGCGUUAUCCGGAUUUAUUGGGUUUAAAGGGUGCGCAGGCGGGAGAUUAAGUCGGCGGUGAAAUUUUGCAGCUCAACUGUAAAAGUGCCUUCGAUACUGGUUUCCUUGAGUGUGGAUGAAGUAGGCGGAAUUUUUGGUGUAGCGGUGAAAUGCUUAGAUAUCACGAGGAACUCCGAUUGCGCAGGCAGCUUACUAAACCACUACUGACGCUCAGGCACGAAGGCGUGGGGAUCAAACAGGAUUAGAUACCCUGGUAGUCCACGCAGUAAACGAUGAUUACUGGCUGUUUGCGAUACAAUGUAAGCGGCUGAGCGAAAGCGUUAAGUAAUCCACCUGGGGAGUACGUUCGCAAGAAUGAAACUCAAAUGAAUUGACGGGG